Molecule: small RNA, 110 nt
Filed under: Flavobacterium succinicans
Lineage: Bacteria; Pseudomonadati; Bacteroidota; Flavobacteriia; Flavobacteriales; Flavobacteriaceae
Description: Flavo-1 RNA
Rfam family: Flavo-1 RNA
Source: Rfam by way of RNAcentral
UUUUUGCGUGAGCGAUGGCAGUGGAGCUCUUUUUCUUCUUACUCUAGCCUGCCAAUAAAAGGCAGGCGAGAGUAAGAAGAAAAAAGCGGGAACGUACAGCGCGACCCGAA